This 488-nucleotide long non-coding RNA is filed under the name Homo sapiens (human). RNAcentral's name for it is "non-protein coding lnc-ANKRD20A8P-12:6". Lineage: Eukaryota; Metazoa; Chordata; Mammalia; Primates; Hominidae. The record is from RNAcentral.
CAUGUGUGGCAUUUGGGUCCUGUUUGGCAGCAAUGACUGCCUUUCUGUUUAGUGUCUGUGUGCUAUGAAGAUUGCAAACGGGGUCCAGAUGCAUUCUGUUUUGAGAAUGUCAAUGGAUACACUAGCUGCUGCUUUGGAUUUCACCGGUUGGUGGUAGUUGACCCGCUGUUUGGAAUGCAGCCAAUUUAAGUGAAGAAAUAUCCAUACACGUGGCUCUGUUACAAUGGUGAAAUCUACAACCAUAAGACUAAGGUGCAACACUAUUUUGAAUUUGAAUACCAGACCAAAGUGGAUGGUGAGAUAAUCCUUCGUCUUUAUGACAAAGGAGGAAUUGAGCAAACAAUUUGUGUGUUGGAUGGUGUGUUUGCAUUUGUUUUACUGGAUUCUGCCAAUAAGAAAGUGUUCCUGGGCAGAGAUACAUGAGGAGUCAGACCUUCGUUUAAAGCAGUGACAGAAGAUGGAUUUUUGGCUGUAUGUUCAGAAGCUAA